Molecule: non-coding RNA, 30 nt
Filed under: Rattus norvegicus (Norway rat)
Lineage: Eukaryota; Metazoa; Chordata; Mammalia; Rodentia; Muridae
Source: RNAcentral
UGGCUUGUUUACUAGAACGCUCCUCUGGUU